RNAcentral lists this ribosomal RNA (502 nucleotides) under uncultured bacterium. Its description in RNAcentral is "bacterial SSU rRNA". It matches the Rfam family "Bacterial small subunit ribosomal RNA", at positions 21 to 518 of the family's 1533-position model. The record is from RNAcentral.
GGCUCAGGAUGAACGCUGGCGGCGUGCCUAACACAUGCAAGUCGAACGAAGCACUUCCGGUUGAGAUUCGUCAAGAACUGGAUUUGACUUAGUGGCGGACGGGUGAGUAAUGUAUGAGCAACCUGCCUUCAGAGGGGGACAACAGUUGGAAACGACUGCUAAUACCGCAUAAUGUAUUGAGGAGGCAUCUCCACGAUACCAAAGGAGCAAUCCGCUGAAAGAUGGGCUCAUAUCUGAUUAGUUAGUUGGCAGGGUAACGGCCUACCAAGACUGCGAUCAGUAGCCGGACUGAGAGGUUGAACGGCCACAUUGGGACUGAGAUACGGCCCAGACUCCUACGGGAGGCAGCAGUGGGGAAUAUUGGGCAAUGGGCGAAAGCCUGAACCCCAGCAACGCCGCGUGAAGGAAGAAGGUCUUCGGAUUGUAAACUUCUUUUAUGAGGGACGAAGGACGUGACGGUACCUCAUGAAUAAGCCACGGCUAACUACGUGCCAGCCGCAGC